This 45-nucleotide non-coding RNA is filed under the name Schistosoma margrebowiei. Lineage: Eukaryota; Metazoa; Platyhelminthes; Trematoda; Strigeidida; Schistosomatidae. The record is from RNAcentral.
AUCCAGCUAACGAGUCCCAAAUUGGAUGAAACUCAUUUCCUGGAU